AUCUCAGCAGGAACCUGAUGGUGUCCACUGGACUGCUACAGCUCUUUGCAAUACCAACUAUUCAGACUGAACAUGGACAUUGUUCUUCAAUUCAGCUUCUAGAAAAGAAGUCUAGGCUAUCCACUUGGAGAAAGUGGCCAUGUGAAUAAAAGGACCCCAGCAGCAGCCCAGCACCAUGGUUCCUGACAUGCGAUAGGGGAACUGUCUGCAUACCAAAAGUAGUAAUGGUUGAGAAUCGAAUAAAGGAACUAUUUAUAGAGGUAUAAGGAUGGCUAAGAGCAACGGAAGAGAAUGAUGAAGAUUCCAAGGAAUAGAAACGGGGGAAGUCAACAAUAGCUUUAAGUCUGAAGGGGUGAGAAGGAGAUGCUGUUACAUGAAAUUAGAGCUGCGGCCAUAUGAA
This is a long non-coding RNA of Gorilla gorilla gorilla (western lowland gorilla), 400 nucleotides long. RefSeq lists it as uncharacterized. The transcript is spliced from 3 exons. Lineage: Eukaryota; Metazoa; Chordata; Mammalia; Primates; Hominidae. The record is from RefSeq and is a predicted model, not a curated record.